CCGGCCCGGUCCCGGCGGCGUCGCGCGAUGGGGCCGCCCCGGUCGUGCCUCGUGCUCGCGGCCGCGCUGCUGCCGCUGCUGCCGCCCGGGGCCGCGCCGGGACCCGUCGCGCCCGGACCCGCCGUCACCGACGCCGAGAUCGAGGCGUUCCUGCGCGGCCUCCUCGGCACCGGCGACCGCGACGGGGAUGGGGACGGCGACGGCACCGACCUGGGCUUCGGCAUCGACCCGAGCAUCGGCGCCGGCACCGGCAGCGACACCGGCUCCCCGGGGCUGAUGGAGCUCGAGAAACCCAAGAAGGGGAAGAAGGAAAAAGCUCCGAAACCCACCAAGAAGCCCAAGGAGAGAGCGCGGGGCUCCAAGAAGGACAAGGACAGGGACAGGGGCCGGGACAGGGACAGGGGCAGGGACAAGCCCCCCAAGAAGCCCAAAGAGAAGCCCCCAAAAGGCUCCGAGAAACCAGCCAAAGGCUCCAAGAAACCCAAGGAGAAGCCGCCCAAAGCCACCAAAAAACCCUCUGGCAAGAAGCCACUGGAGCCCCCGACACCCCCCGCGGAGCUCCCCGUCACUCCACAGCCCCCGCGGGGUGAGGAUGAGGAGGGGACACCCCAGUUCCCAAAGCAGCCUUCGCCCUAUGAGGAGGAGGAGGAUGGAGGUGGCCGAGGGGAGCUGGAGGAGCCGCCACUCUGGGAGCUGGGCCGGGAGGACUCACACCCCGAGCCUGAGGCCCCCACGGAGCCGGAGCCCCCCACCCUGGACUACAAUGAGCAGCUGGAGCGGGAGGACUACGAGGACUUCGAGUACAUCCGGCGGCAGCAGAAGCCCCGCAAGCCCCCGGGCAGGAAGAGCCCCCAGAGGGUCUGGCCCCAGC
This 871-nucleotide long non-coding RNA is filed under the name Strigops habroptila (Kakapo). RNAcentral describes it as "lncRNA (ENSSHBG00005013695.1)". The record is from RNAcentral. Lineage: Eukaryota; Metazoa; Chordata; Aves; Psittaciformes; Psittacidae.